UAUACCGUGAAACUGCGAAUGGCUCAUUAAAUCAGUUAUCGUUUAUUUGAUAGUACCUUACUACUUGGACAACCGUGGUAAUUCUAGAGCUAAUACAUGCUGACAACCUCGACUUACGAAGAGGUGUAUUUAUUAGAUAAAAAACCAACGCCUUUCGGGGCUUCUUGGUGAUUCAUAAUAACUUUACGGAUCGCAUGGCCUUGCGCCGGGCGACGGUUCAUUCAAAUUUCUGCCCUAUCAACUUUCGAUGGUAAGGUAUUGGCUUACCAUGGUUUCAACGGGUAACGGGGAAUUAGGGUUCGAUUCCGGAGAGGGAGCCCGAGAAACGGCUACCACAUCCAAGGAAGGCAGCAGGCGCGCAAAUUACCCAAUCCCGAUACGGGGAGGUAGUGACAAUAAAUACUGAUACAGGGCUCUUUUGGGUCUUGUAAUUGGAAUGAGUACAAUUUAAACCUCUUAACGAGGAACAAUUGGAGGGCAAGUCUGGUGCCAGCAGCCGCGGUAAUUCCAGCUCCAAUAGCGUAUAUUAAAGUUGUUGCAGUUAAAAAGCUCGUAGUUGAACCUUGGGUCUGGCUGGCAGGUCCGCCUCACCGCGUGUACUUGUCCGGCCGGGCCUUCCUUCUGGAGAACCUCAUGCCCUUCACUGGGCGUGUUGGGGACCAGGACUUUUACUUUGAAAAAAUUAGAGUGUUCAAAGCAGGCCUUUGCUCGAAUACGUUAGCAUGGAAUAAUAGAAUAGGACGUGCGGUCCUAUUUUGUUGGUUUCUAGGACCGCCGUAAUGAUUAAUAGGGACAGUCGGGGGCAUCAGUAUUCAAUUGUCAGAGGUGAAAUUCUUGGAUUUAUUGAAGACUAACUACUGCGAAAGCAUUUGCCAAGGAUGUUUUCAUUAAUCAGUGAACGAAAGUUAGGGGAUCGAAGACGAUCAGAUACCGUCGUAGUCUUAACCGUAAACUAUGCCGACUAGGGAUCGGGCGAUGUUAUUUUUCUGACUCGCUCGGCACCUUACGAGAAAUCAAAGUUUUUGGG
This 1027-nucleotide ribosomal RNA is filed under the name Rubroshiraia bambusae. Its description in RNAcentral is "SSU rRNA". It matches the Rfam family "Eukaryotic small subunit ribosomal RNA", at positions 75 to 1111 of the family's 1831-position model. Lineage: Eukaryota; Fungi; Ascomycota; Dothideomycetes; Pleosporales; Shiraiaceae. The record is from RNAcentral.